This 442-nucleotide ribosomal RNA is filed under the name uncultured bacterium. Its description in RNAcentral is "partial 16S ribosomal RNA". It matches the Rfam family "Bacterial small subunit ribosomal RNA", at positions 338 to 795 of the family's 1533-position model. The record is from RNAcentral.
CCUACGGGAGGCAGCAGUAGGGAAUCUUUCACAAUGGGCGAAAGCCUGAUGGAGCAACGCCGCGUGCAGAAUGAAGGCCUUCGGGUUGUAAACUGCUUUUAUAAGCGAGAAAUAUGAUGGUAACUUAUGAAUAAGGAUCGGCUAACUACGUGCCAGCAGCCGCGGUCAUACGUAGGAUCCGAGCAUUAUCCGGAGUGACUGGGUGUAAAGAGUUGCGUAGGUGGCAUAAUAAGUAGCUAGUGAAAUCUGGUGGCUCAACCAUUCAGACUAUUAGCUAAACUGUUAAGCUCGAGACCGUUAGGGGUAACUGGAAUUUCUAGUGUAGGAGUGAAAUCCGUAGAUAUUAGAAGGAACACCAAUAGCGUAGGCAGGUUGCUGGGACGGUUCUGACACUAAGGCACGAAAGCGUAGGGAGCAAACGGGAUUAGAUACCCCUGUAGUC